CCUACGGGAGGCAGCAGUGGGGAAUAUUGGGCAAUGGGCGAAAGCCUGACCCAGCAACGCCGCGUGAAGGAAGAAGGCUUUCGGGUUGUAAACUUCUUUUAUGAGGAACGAAGGACGUGACGGUACCUCAUGAAUAAGCCACGGCUAACUACGUGCCAGCAGCCGCGGUAAUACGUAGGUGGCAAGCGUUGUCCGGAUUUACUGGGUGUA
RNAcentral lists this ribosomal RNA (210 nucleotides) under uncultured bacterium. RNAcentral describes it as "partial 16S ribosomal RNA". It matches the Rfam family "Bacterial small subunit ribosomal RNA", at positions 338 to 562 of the family's 1533-position model. The record is from RNAcentral.